CCUACGGGAAGCAGCAGUGGGGAAUCUUGCGCAAUGGGCGAAAGCCUGACGCAGCCAUGCCGCGUGAAUGAUGAAGGUCUUAGGAUUGUAAAAUUCUUUCACCGGGGACGAUAAUGACGGUACCCGGAGAAGAAGCCCCGGCUAACUUCGUGCCAGCAGCCGCGGUAAUACGAAGGGGGCUAGCGUUGCUCGGAAUUACUGGGCGUAAAGGGAGCGUAGGCGGAUAGUUUAGUCAGAGGUGAAAGCCCAGGGCUCAACCUUGGAAUUGCCUUUGAUACUGGCUAUCUUGAGUACGGAAGAGGUAUGUGGAACUCCGAGUGUAGAGGUGAAAUUCGUAGAUAUUCGGAAGAACACCAGUGGCGAAGGCGACAUACUGGUCCGUUACUGACGCUGAGGCUCGAAAGCGUGGGGAGCAAACAGGAUUAGAUACCCUGGUAGUCCACGCUGUAAACGAUGAGUGCUAGUUGUCGGCAUGCAUGCAUGUCGGUGACGCAGCUACGACAUAAGUACACUCCGCCGUCGGGAGGUACGGUCGCGAAGAAGUUAAACUAACUAAAUUAGAAGUUAGUUACGGCGUGAGACGNGCCGACGGACGACGACGAGGGAGGAGG
This 611-nucleotide ribosomal RNA is filed under the name uncultured bacterium. RNAcentral's name for it is "bacterial SSU rRNA". The stretch from base 1 to 518 matches the Rfam family "Bacterial small subunit ribosomal RNA", at positions 338 to 873 of the family's 1533-position model. The record is from RNAcentral.